ACAUCGACUAAGAAGAGAUAAGUACUUCUCAAGCGUCGCCCAGAGAGUUAAUGGUUGGUGUGAAUUAACGGACGCGCGAGUUGGAAAAUGGUCUUGGAGUCUUAAUGACGUGAGCAAAGUGUUAGCGUCGCUCGGGUGCGCCCGUUAUCGCGCUUAGGUAUCGUCGGUAUACGACCGUACUGAAAGAGGAUGGUCUUUAUUUUUUGGACCAUUGAACCCGGGUGGUAACACGUGAAAACGUCCCGUAG
This 248-nucleotide non-coding RNA is filed under the name Weissella confusa. RNAcentral describes it as "T-box sequence". It matches the Rfam family "T-box leader". From Rfam's summary of the family: Uncharged tRNA acts as the effector for transcription antitermination of genes in the T-box leader family. T-boxes are found upstream of many aminoacyl-tRNA synthetase genes and some amino acid biosynthetic genes usually in Gram-positive bacteria. The record is from RNAcentral. Lineage: Bacteria; Bacillati; Bacillota; Bacilli; Lactobacillales; Lactobacillaceae.